AUUGAACGCUGGCGGCAGGCCUAACACAUGCAAGUCGAGCGAGCGGCGGACGGGUGAGUAAUGUAUGGGAAACUGCCUGAUGGAGGGGGCUAACUACUGGAAACGGUAGCUAAUACCGCAUACCAUCAGAUGUGCCCAGAUGGGAUGAGCUAGUAGGUGGGGUAAAGGCGCACCUAGGCGACGAUCCCUAGCUGGGCUGAGAGGAUGAUCAGCCACACUGGGACUGAGACACGGCCCAGACUCCUACGGGAGGCAGCAGUGGGGAAUAUUGCACAAUGGGCGCAAGCCUGAUGCAGCCAUGCCGCGUGUGUGAAGAAGGCCUUCGGGUUGUAAAGCACUUUCAGUGAGGAGGCGUUACCCACAGAAGAAGCACCGGCUAACUCCGUGCCAGCAGCCGCGGUAAUAC
RNAcentral lists this ribosomal RNA (406 nucleotides) under uncultured bacterium. RNAcentral describes it as "partial 16S ribosomal RNA". It matches the Rfam family "Bacterial small subunit ribosomal RNA", at positions 29 to 526 of the family's 1533-position model. The record is from RNAcentral.